RNAcentral lists this ribosomal RNA (462 nucleotides) under uncultured Gammaproteobacteria bacterium. RNAcentral describes it as "bacterial SSU rRNA". It matches the Rfam family "Bacterial small subunit ribosomal RNA", at positions 9 to 469 of the family's 1533-position model. Lineage: Bacteria; Pseudomonadati; Pseudomonadota; Gammaproteobacteria. The record is from RNAcentral.
GAGUUUGAUCAUGGCUCAGAUUGAACGCUGGCGGCAUGCCUAACACAUGCAAGUCGAACGGAAACGAUGGAAGCUUGCUUCCAGGCGUCGAGUGGCGGACGGGUGAGUAACACUUAGGAAUCUACCCAGUAGCGGGGGACAACUCGAGGAAACUCGAGCUAAUACCGCAUACGCCCUACGGGGGAAAGCAGGGGAUCUUCGGACCUUGCACUAUUGGAUGAGCCUAAGUCGGAUUAGCUUGUUGGUGAGGUAAAGGCUCACCAAGGCGACGAUCCGUAGCUGGUCUGAGAGGACGAUCAGCCACACUGGGACUGAGACACGGCCCAGACUCCUACGGGAGGCAGCAGUGGGGAAUAUUGGACAAUGGGGGAAACCCUGAUCCAGCAAUGCCGCGUGUGUGAAGAAGGCCUGCGGGUUGUAAAGCACUUUCAGUAGAGAAGAAAAGCCUAGGGAUAAUACCCC